GACGAACGCUGGCGGCGUGCCUAAUACAUGCAAGUUGAGCGAUGAAGAUUGGUGCUUGCACCAAUUUGAAGAGCAGCGAACGGGUGAGUAACGCGUGGGGAAUCUGCCUUUGAGCGGGGGACAACAUUUGGAAACGAAUGCUAAUACCGCAUAACAACUUUAAACAUAAGUUUUAAGUUUGAAAGAUGCAAUUGCAUCACUCAAAGAUGAUCCCGCGUUGUAUUAGCUAGUUGGUGAGGUAAAGGCUCACCAAGGCGAUGAUACAUAGCCGACCUGAGAGGGUGAUCGGCCACAUUGGGACUGAGACACGGCCCAAACUCCGACGGGAGGCAGCAGUAGGGAAUCUUCGGCAAUGGACGAAAGUCUGACCGAGCAACGCCGCGUGAGUGAAGAAGGUUUUCGGAUCGUAAAACUCUGUUGGUAGAGAAGAACGUUGGUGAGAGUGGAAAGCUCAUCAAGUGACGGUAACUACCCAGAAAGGGACGGCUAACUACGUG
Molecule: ribosomal RNA, 497 nt
Filed under: uncultured bacterium
Lineage: Bacteria
Description: partial 16S ribosomal RNA
Rfam family: Bacterial small subunit ribosomal RNA
Source: RNAcentral